RNAcentral lists this ribosomal RNA (1402 nucleotides) under uncultured bacterium. Its description in RNAcentral is "16S ribosomal RNA". It matches the Rfam family "Bacterial small subunit ribosomal RNA". The record is from RNAcentral.
AGAGUUUGAUCCUGGCUCAGGAUGAUCGCUAGCGGCAGGCUUAACACAUGCAAGUCGAGGGGCAGCGGGGAGGAAGCUUGCUUUCUCCGCCGGCGACCGGCGCACGGGUGAGUAACACGUAUGCAACCUGCCCCUGUCAGGGGGACAACCCGCCGAAAGGCGGGCUAAACCCGCGUACAUGCCACCGGGGCAUCCCGGAGGCAGGAAAGGCUUCGGCCGGACAGGGAUGGGCAUGCGGCGCAUUAGGCAGUAGGCGGGGUAACGGCCCACCUAACCGACGAUGCGUAGGGGUUCUGAGAGGAAGGUCCCCCACACUGGUACUGAGACACGGACCAGACUCCUACGGGAGGCAGCAGUGAGGAAUAUUGGUCAAUGGUCGGGAGACUGAACCAGCCAAGCCGCGUGAGGGAGGAAGGUACAGAGUAUCGUAAACCUCUUUUGUCAGGGAACAAAGGCGGGGACGUGUCCCCGGAUGAGUGUACCUGAAGAAAAAGCAUCGGCUAACUCCGUGCCAGCAGCCGCGGUAAUACGGAGGAUGCGAGCGUUAUCCGGAUUUAUUGGGUUUAAAGGGUGCGCAGGCGGUCUGUUAAGUCAGCGGUCAAAGCCCGGGGCUCAACCCCGGCCCGCCGUUGAAACUGGCAGUCUCGAGUUGGAGAGAAGUAUGCGGAAUGCGCGGUGUAGCGGUGAAAUGCAUAGAUAUCGCGCAGAACUCCGAUUGCGAAGGCAGCAUGCCGGCUCCACACUGACGCUGAGGCACGAAAGCGUGGGUAUCGAACAGGAUUAGAUACCCUGGUAGUCCACGCAGUAAACGAUGAAUGCUGGCUGUCCGGGGGGACUGACCCCUGGGUGGCGAAGCGAAAGCGAUAAGCAUUCCACCUGGGGAGUACGCCGGCAACGGUGAAACUCAAAGGAAUUGACGGGGGCCCGCACAAGCGGAGGAACAUGUGGUUUAAUUCGAUGAUACGCGAGGAACCUUACCCGGGCUCAAACGGGGAGUGGCGCAGGCAGAGACGCCUGUUUCCCACGGGACACUCCCCGAGGUGCUGCAUGGUUGUCGUCAGCUCGUGCCGUGAGGUGUCGGCUUAAGUGCCAUAACGAGCGCAACCCCCGCGUGCAGUUGCUAACAGUCAACGCUGAGGACUCUGCACGGACUGCCGGCGCAAGCCGCGAGGAAGGCGGGGAUGACGUCAAAUCAGCACGGCCCUUACGUCCGGGGCGACACACGUGUUACAAUGGGUGGUACAGCGGGAAGCCAGGCGGCGACGCCGAGCGGAACCCGAAAUCCACUCUCAGUUCGGAUCGGAGUCUGCAACCCGACUCCGUGAAGCUGGAUUCGCUAGUAAUCGCGCAUCAGCCAUGGCGCGGUGAAUACGUUCCCGGGCCUUGCACACACCGCCCGUCA